CCACCCCAUUGCCACCCACCGCCCCAUUCCCGCCCCUCGGUACCACCCUCGCACUGUCCCCACAUCCCCAGACGUGGCGGUGGGUGCCCCGUACGGCGGUGACGAUGGCAGUGGGGCCGUGCUCAUCUUCCGGGGUCAGCGGGAGGGGCUCAGCCCGACCCCAUCGCAGCGCCUCAGCAGCCCCUUCCCCGGCCCUGCCGCCUUCGGCUUCGCGCUCCGUGGUGCCACCGACAUCGAUGGCAACGGGUACCCAGAUCUGCUGGUCGGUGCUUUUGGGGUCUCCAAGGUGGCCGUGUACCGGGCUCGGCCCGUGGUGGUGGCCCAGGCACAGCUGAACGUCCCCAGCGGGCUGAACCCACAGGUGACAGAGUGCGUCCUGCCGGGGAGUGACAGCAGCGUCACCUGGUGAGAGGGGACACAACUAUGGGGACACCGGUACAGGGACACCGCCAUGGGGACGCCACUGGGGCACCAUCCUGGGAACGCUGCCGUGGGGACAUUGCUUUGGGGACAGCGCCGUGGGGACAGCACGGGGACCUCGCAGGGACAGUGCCGUGGGGACGUCACUUUGGGGACAGCACCACGGGGACACCAUUGGGGCACCGUCUUAGGGACAGCGCCACAGGGACCCCGCUUUGGGGACACUGUGGGGACAUGGCCGUAGGGACACCAUUGGGGCACAAUCGGGGCACCAUCCUGGGGACGCUGCCGUGGGGACACUCUAUGGGGGCACCAUGGGGACACCGUGGGGACAUCGCUUUGUGGACACUGUGGGGACACCGUGGGGACACCAGUUUGGGGAUACUUUGGGGAUAUGGCCAUGGGGACACUGCUGUGGGGACACUCCGUGGGGGCACCAUGGGGACACGGCCACAGGGACAUCACUUUGUGGAUGCUGUGGGGACACUGUUGUGGGGACACGAUGGGGACAUUGUGGGGACAUGGGGACACCAUUGGGGCACCAUUGAGGCAUCACUGUGGGGACACUGCCAUGGGGACACCAGUUUGGGGACACCAUCACUGGGAUGCUCUAUGGGAAUGCCCUGGGGACACGGUCACGGGGACACUGCUGUGGGGACAUCAUGGGGACAGAACCGUGGGGACACUGUGGGAAUAUGGCCAUGGGGACACUGUCCUGGGGACACAUAAUGGGGGAACCAUGGGGACACAACUUUGGGGUCACCACCACUGGGAUGCUCUAUGGGGGCACCAAGGAGACACCGCCAUUGGGACAUUGUGGGGACAGAGCCAUGGGGACAUCACUUCGGGGACACCACGAGGACACCAUGGGAUGGUGACAUCGGGUGUGGGGCGGUGACACGAGCUGUGGGAUGGAGACAUGGGGUUUGGGACCGUGACCUCAGGUGUGGGAUGGUGACAUUGGUAUGGGAUCAGAUUUGGGAUGGUGACAUCGGACACCAUGAGGAACAGGGUCAUGGGGACACUGCGGGGACAGAGCCAUGGGGACACCGCUCUGGGGACACCGCCA
Meleagris gallopavo (turkey) is the source of this 1489-nucleotide non-coding RNA. NCBI's taxonomy places the organism in Eukaryota, Metazoa, Chordata, Aves, Galliformes, Phasianidae. The record is from RefSeq and is a predicted model, not a curated record.